This is a small nucleolar RNA of Lotus japonicus, 129 nucleotides long. RefSeq annotates it as small nucleolar RNA snoR74. The record is from RefSeq and is a predicted model, not a curated record. NCBI's taxonomy places the organism in Eukaryota, Viridiplantae, Streptophyta, Magnoliopsida, Fabales, Fabaceae. The transcript has a single exon.
AAAAAAGCAGUGGUCUGUUGCCUAUGUGAGCAGUCCUCUCGUAACCUUCAGGGAUAUAGUAACCACUGUUAUUGGGUGAACCUUUGUUUAUUCUCUGUGACUGAAGGUUCAGUAAAUGAUGGAACAUGU